Molecule: ribosomal RNA, 300 nt
Filed under: Staphylococcus pseudintermedius
Lineage: Bacteria; Bacillati; Bacillota; Bacilli; Caryophanales; Staphylococcaceae
Description: bacterial LSU rRNA
Rfam family: Bacterial large subunit ribosomal RNA
Source: RNAcentral
GACUUAUUGAGCAGAGCGUACCGGAUGGAAGUGCCAUCGCUCAACGGAUAAAAGCUACCCCGGCGAUAACAGGCGUAUCUCCCCCAAGAGUCCACGUCGACAGAGGUGUUUGGCGCUUCGAUGUCGGCUCAACGCAUCCUGGGGCUGUAGUAGGUCCCAAGGGUUGGGCUGUUCGCCCAUUAAAGCGGUACGCGAACUGGGUUCAGAACGUCGUGAGACAGUUCGGUCCCUAUCCGUCGUGCGCGUAGGAAAUUUGAGAGGAGCUGUCCUUAGUACGGGAGGACCGGGAUGGAAAUACCU